RNAcentral lists this non-coding RNA (28 nucleotides) under Mus musculus (house mouse). The record is from RNAcentral. Lineage: Eukaryota; Metazoa; Chordata; Mammalia; Rodentia; Muridae.
UGGUUGCAUAGGCUUGACGUGCUUAUGC